RNAcentral lists this ribosomal RNA (253 nucleotides) under uncultured bacterium. Its description in RNAcentral is "partial 16S ribosomal RNA". It matches the Rfam family "Bacterial small subunit ribosomal RNA", at positions 524 to 776 of the family's 1533-position model. The record is from RNAcentral.
UACGUAGGGGGCAAGCGUUGUCCGGAAUUAUUGGGCGUAAAGAGCGCGUAGGCGGUCCGAUAAGUCGGCUGUGAAAGUCCAGGGCUCAACCCUGGAAAGCCGGCCGAUACUGUCGGACUAGAGUCCGGAAGAGGCAAGUGGAGUUCCCGGUGUAGCGGUGAAAUGCGCAGAUAUCGGGAGGAACACCUGUGGCGAAGGCGGCUUUCUGGGCCCUACCUGACGCUGAGACGCGAAAGCGUGGGGAGCGAACCGG